This 5146-nucleotide long non-coding RNA is filed under the name Suricata suricatta (meerkat). RNAcentral's name for it is "lncRNA (ENSSSUG00005017574.1)". The record is from RNAcentral. Lineage: Eukaryota; Metazoa; Chordata; Mammalia; Carnivora; Herpestidae.
AUGUGGUUCGACCCAAUGAUGCAUCCUUGCAGGGGAUUACGAAAUUCCACGGCCAGCCCUCUGAGGACACCAUCGUAUUCUAGCCUCCUUUGUCAAACCUACUGGAAAUUUUUUAGAGUGCCAGAGUUGGCAAGGUUCCUUCAUCUGUGCCUCCUUGAGUCUCUGGGCAGAAGGAUGCUGGGUGGGUCGGCCAGGCCCAGAGGUGUCGUUCUUUUUCUACUUAACUCCUAUGUGCCCUUGCCCUGCUCUACUACCCACCCCACCACCACCACCUUCCCUGUGUUUUAUCUUUCUUUCCCUCUUGCUCUCAUUACAAAAAAUCAGAGAAUUAACAUUCCUUGGCUGGUGAGUGGGAUGCAACAACCAGCCUCAGGACACUGGUCACCUCUUCCCAUUUUCCUAGAAGCCACUGCUAGGAAGCAGCCACCCAAGGAGACUGUCAGAGCUCCAGAGAUAUUGUCAGGUUGACAGUCUAUGCCACACUGAAGCUGAAGAACUGACAUGAGCAAGGAAAAAAAAAAGUGCCACAUCUGUCUUCUAUGCCCAUUGGCUCAGACAUAGCAUUUAGUAAGUGAAAUACACACUGGUAACCCAUAGAGGCUUCUAAGGCCAUGACCAAAUAGCAUUGAAGAGAGCCACGUUUCCAUACUGGCUUGGAAUGUGAAACAGAUUCCACCGUUCUACAUCUGCUUUGCCUAGACUGUAUAGACACGACCUGUGUUUCACCUCAGUACCUCUCCCUUCCUAGGACAGAGUCCUUAGACACUAAAUGCUUCUCUCUGUCUUUUCGCCUAAGGGAAUGGGGGUUAGUAUUGCAUUGCACCCUCUGACAAACAUUUUUAGGGAGUGCUGCCGGACAGCUUGCAAACUCCCAACAACUCAGCAGAGUCCUGUUUGCCAGCUCCGUUGCUGGUGUAGACUAGUCAGCAGUGCGGCAGCCCAUUUCAUCUGGCAGACUGAAGUUGAACAGGCACAGCUGUGGCAUCACGGUCAUUACCGAGAUACAAAUGUCAAGUUUGCCCUUAUACAUAGGCAUGGUAUUUGUAAGAGCCAGGAGCAGUGAUUCGGAACAUUAGAGCCAUGGAGGAAGUGGAGGCCUGGGCUCCCUCCUUGUCCUGGCAGUGUGGAAGAGAAGCAGCUCUGAGGCAGCCUUGUCUAUCCUUGAAAUUCUUGGCCUGUCCUCUGGCUCAGGGCCUUUCCCUGCUCCAAAGAUAAGAAGGGUCCCCCAUUGCAAACUUGAAAUUACUUACCUGAAGUUGAUACAUCAAGUUCUAGCCGUGCUCAGCCACACCUGUCUUUGCAUUCAUUUUCACCAUUAGCCUGGCCAGCUGCAAGGCUAUCUGUGGUCCUCAGAGCCUGUGGAACCUGCCCACGAUGGGAGGCGUUAGCUGCUGACGCACCACUUACCCAGAGUUACAGGAGGUCUACUUCUGGGGUGGGGUUUGGUACAAUUUCUGAUUAUGGGCACUUCCCACCCCAAAUGAUGAGAAGUUACAGUUAACUAUGAUUUACUCAGCUAUAAGUCAACUCCAGAGGUUUAGUGUUCUUAAUAUGGGAAAGAGGAGAAAUCUCAGGUCCAAUCAGGGUUCUGCCUAUCAGCUUUUCACUGAAACUUCAACUAUAGUUUUGUGGGGGUUUUUUUUUCAUCUUUAUAGGUAUAUUUGCCCCUCAUCUACUUCCUGUCCCCUUUCUUCUCUUCUCUUUUGGUCACCUUUCCAGCUUUAUUUUCUUCAUUAGUUUAAAUGUACCUCAUCACACCUGUUAAAACAGAUUAUGUCCACUUUUCCUUACUGACCUUACUCUAAGAGCUACAGCAGAGGGAGGUACAGUGGAAAGACAUGUAGUGUUUGCCUUACUUGGAGCCUGAAGAGCUUAGAAACUCAUGCUGUGAAUCCCAAAACUCAGUGCUCCUUUAAGAGCUGUGAAAAUCAUGACAUUUUGUCACAGUUUUGCCUGAAAGGGUCUUUUGCCUGGGUGCCAGAGCCAAACUGAGGUGAAUUCCAGAUCCUAACAUCUGGGUGCGAUCCCUCCCCCCAGGGCUCACUCCCUGUCUACUAGACCAAGAGCAGCAUGAAGUGUGCAGGACAGGGGAGGCAGCGAGCGCCAAGGCUCUGGUGCAGCCCAAGGGAAAGCAUAGCCAGCACUUGGUCCCCAGGCUGGGAUUCCAUCUCCUAACACCACGUACAUUAAGAUCCGCGAAAGACCAACUUUUAGUCAGUGAUGCUUUUUCUCCCAUUACCUGAGGGAGAAGUAUGCAGUUGGUGCUUUCUUUUAAUUCCCUGUUUUGUUUUUGUUUUGUUACUGGAAGCUUUUCCCCAGGUAUCAUGGAAAGGACCUCUUAAAUACCACAUUUGGUGUGGGCGGCUGUAUCCAAAGUCUAAAUAAUUGGCCAGAGGUAUGGAGUAGCCUUUCCUGGAUUGAUGCAAAGGAAGGGCUCCUUAUCACAACUGCACUUCUUGAUAUUAAAAACUGGCUGCGGAGGAAGACUUAAUUUUACAAAAAUCAAAGUUUGAGAUCAUCUAACCACAAAUUGAGCAGCUAACGCUAAUUUGAUUAUAAAGUAAGGGUCCCCAUAUAGCCCGCCAUCUAGCACAGCAUAUUCUCAGAUUUGACGCUUAUUCAUUGUGUGUCUUCACAAGCCCCUCCUUGGUGCUGAGUUGGAUUUGAAUUCUUGGCAAGAGUCCUCAGCAUCUCCUUGGGCUGGUCUGGGCCAGUAAAUAGCUGCCUGAAGUGUUUAUAUAUUAUCAUGGUCAAUAGUUCAGUGAAAUUUGUACAUUUUUGGUAACAUUGGUAUACAUGAUGCCCCUGCAGUUCCUUUUCUGUUUGGUAGUUUGUGACUCUAAAUUCCCACUGUUAUGUGUGUUAAUUUAUGAAAAUAAAUUUUUUUGGAAAAUCUUUCAAAUAACUCUUAAGGCUGUUAUUCUAUUCUCUUUUUUUUAUGAUUUUAUUAUUAAGUAAGCUCUACACCCAACAUGGGGCUCAACCUUAGAAACCCCAAUAUCAAGAAUAGCACUUUUUCCAACUGAGCCAGUCAGGUGCCACUGUUAUUUUAUUCUUACGACUUGGUAAAAUUUUAAAAUUUUACCUAUAAUAUUAUGAGGUUUCACCACUUUCUGAGGACUGUCCUGUGCUCAGAACAAGUAUUGGCCUCCACCUUUGGGUGACCUGAGCCUGCAAUGAAUCUUUUAAAAUUUACUCAGUGGCAGCAAAUCAUCCCUUUGAGGGAAUUUGGUAUUUGGAAACACCCAAUACUCAUUCAGAUCUGAGUCAUACCCACUUAGGUGGGGUAGGGUUGCAGAGCAAGUAUCUUAGGUGUGAUUUUUAAAUAGUGCAGCUUACUUUCUCAUUUGGUGAGGGGUGGGGAGCAGUUAUAAAUUCAAGUCAUAAGAUGUUUCAAAUAUUAACCUAUUUGGAAUAAGAGCUUCACUUGCUAAUGAGACUACUAGGGAGAGUGUAAAUGCAGUGGAGUACAUGCAUUUGCUGUAAAAAAAAAAAGUCUUGCCUUUUAUCAGAUAUCCUCCUGGCUGUAAAUGAAGUUAGGCCAUGAGUCUUCUAUUCUCAGUCCUCUAGUGAGAUGGUGGCAACUAGUGAGAGAAUGACUGAAAACAUGGCUCUCAAACACUGACAUGUUCCAGGAAGAAUCCUAAUUUCUGAGGAUGUUUUUCAGUGUCCAGUGUCCCUGCAUGGCUUUUUCCAAUUCUUGGGCUUCUACAACACAGAAUUCCAUCCAUGUAGUCUUAAUAUUUGGGGAGCAUUCUGCCUCACAGGAAUGUUUCUGCUUGUUAGGUUUCACAGUUAAUUGAGAAGCGCACUCCUACACAUUUUCUUUGUUUAGAAGGGAGAGGCUAAUCAUCUAUUAUGUGUUAUUUCUUUAGCAUCUCUCAUUACAGAAUCUCAGUGUUGGUAAGGCUUCCUGAGAAUUAGAGGACUGAUCCAAGCUGAUUUAAGAAUCCUCUGUUGGGGUGCCUGGGUGACUCAGUCGGUUAAGGCUCCGACUUCAGCUCAGGUCAGAACUCACGUUCGUGGAGUUUGAGCCCCCCGUUGGGCUCUGUGCUGACAGCUAGCUCAGAGCCUGGAGCCUGCUUCGGGUUCUGUGUCUCCUUCUCUAUCUGCCCCUCCCCCUCUCAUGCUCUGUCUCUCUCUGUAUCAAAAAUAAAUAAAAACAUUUAAAAAAAAAAAAGAAUCCUCUGUUGGGGGGCACCUGGGUGGCUCAGUCUGUUAAGUGUCCAACUCUGGCUUAGGCCGUGGUCUCACAGUUUGCAGGUUUGAGCCCCGGGUCAGGCUCUAUGCUGACAUCUCAGAACCUGGAGCCUGCUUGCAUUUUUCUCUCUCUCUCUCUCAAAAAUAAACAUUAAAAAAAUUUUUUUAAAGAAGUCUCUAUUGUACCUUGCCCUCUUGCAGUGAUGGAGACCUGAUCUUUACAUUUCCUUCUGGGAGGACUUUGCUUGAAAAGUGUUCUAGAAAAUUCCUAAUUCAUAAACAACUUCCAAGGUCAUAGAUGAGUCAUAACAUCUUAAACUUCCAGUGUCUUCUCCCUUCUCACUGUCAGCUGAUAGCUUUGUGUUUGCAUUUCACUGAGAAGCAAUUUGAAUGAAAUUUACAUACUGACCUUUUGCAGUUCCUUGAACAGACCAAGCAUGCUCCCCGGUUGAUUUGCUGUCUCCAGUGCUCUUCUCCCACAUUUGUACAUGUUCCCUCAGGCAUUUUAUUUAGAUUUUUGCCUUCCCAGAUCAUCCUAAAAGUGUAUCCCCUCCCAUUCUACAUCGCCCUUAUGAUACUUUUAUAUUUUACAGUACUUACUACCGUCUUCACAAGUUCCUCGAGGUCAGGGACUUUUGUUUUAUUUACUCUGGGAUCUUGCUCUCAAGCACCUAAACCACUGCCUCACAUAUAUGGUAGGAGCUGAGGAAACACUCACGGGCAAACGAAUGGCUGCUUUUAUUCACAGAACUUGUUGCCGCACAGACCUGGUGCAGUCCUCUCCAUCCCCCUUAGUCUGAAUAUCUGAAGACCCUGCAAUUCUCCCUUCAAGUUACUCUUCAAGGGACCUGGUUGGUAACUGCCCAAACACACAAGGUAAAACUGGUCAACUCUUCCAAUGCCAGGCUCUGCUCAGCUCCAGCUGCAGCCACACCACACAGCUAGC